Molecule: ribosomal RNA, 87 nt
Filed under: Acidimicrobiaceae bacterium
Lineage: Bacteria; Bacillati; Actinomycetota; Acidimicrobiia; Acidimicrobiales; Acidimicrobiaceae
Description: partial 16S ribosomal RNA
Rfam family: Bacterial small subunit ribosomal RNA
Source: RNAcentral
UUUUGACGGAGAGUUUGAUCCUGGCUCAGGACGAACGCUGGCGGCGUGCUUAAUACAUGCAAGUCGAACGCUCUCGACCUUCGGGUC